UGAUAUAUAAUUGUUUCACUGAGCGUGGUUCAAGAAUAGCCUAAAACAACAAAUCCGAAAAAUAGUUCUUCCAAAACAAGUUUUAACCGAAACUCAAGUCCUUGGUAACUUGUAGCUCUCAUCAAGGUUUAAGAGCAAGCGAGAGACCAAACCUCGGGUACUUCUCCAACGUCUUGGUAUCAAUCUCCCCAGAGAUCGUCACAAUCGAUUUCACACUCGUCAAGUGAUCAACCGCAUACAAUCCACCAACAGUAAUAACGUUCUCGUUCGUCGAGAACUUCCUGUAAACCUCUCCCACCGCAGCGCUCCUCUUGGACUCAUCUAGGUGUUGGAGAUAAGAGGCUUUGAUCGAAUCUGCUUUAUCUCCACUGUAAGCAACCAAAAGAGUAGUUUCAGAUUAAUCAAAGGAGCCUCUUUAUAUGAUCAUCUUACAGUAUAACGGAGGCGCAUUUAUCAGGCUUUGUGACACUGAUUCCGAAGUUGUACUUAGUGAAAGACCGAGAGGUGGUGUCGUAACCAGCUUCGGCACCGAAUGAGAUAGUUGGGGAGCCAAGAGUAGCUGUUAGAUCGACCAGAGGGUUUUGUUUCAAAGCUGCGGUGGCUG
RNAcentral lists this long non-coding RNA (604 nucleotides) under Brassica napus (rape). RNAcentral's name for it is "long non-coding RNA (BNAP_LNC020716)". Lineage: Eukaryota; Viridiplantae; Streptophyta; Magnoliopsida; Brassicales; Brassicaceae. The record is from RNAcentral.